AUUGAACGCUGGCGGAAUGCUUUACACAUGCAAGUCGAACGGCAGCACGGGGGCAACCCUGGUGGCGAGUGGCGAACGGGUGAGUAAUACAUCGGAACGUGCCCAGUCGUGGGGGAUAACGUAGCGAAAGUUACGCUAAUACCGCAUACGAUCUACGGAUGAAAGCGGGGGACCGUAAGGCCUCACGCGAUUGGAGCGGCCGAUGUCAGAUUAGGUAGUUGGUGAGGUAAAGGCUCACCAAGCCGACGAUCUGUGGCUGGUCUGAGAGGACGACCAGCCACACUGGGACUGAGACACGGCCCAGACUCCUACGGGAGGCAGCAGUGGGGAAUUUUGGACAAUGGGCGCAAGCCUGAUCCAGCCAUUCCGCGUGCAGGACGAAGGCCUUCGGGUUGUAAACUGCUUUUGUACGGAACGAAAAGGCUCUGGUUAAUACCUGGGGCUCAUGACGGUACCGUAAGAAUAAGCACCGGCUAACUACGUGCCAGCAGCCGCCGUAA
This 500-nucleotide ribosomal RNA is filed under the name uncultured bacterium. RNAcentral describes it as "partial 16S ribosomal RNA". It matches the Rfam family "Bacterial small subunit ribosomal RNA", at positions 30 to 523 of the family's 1533-position model. The record is from RNAcentral.